RNAcentral lists this ribosomal RNA (374 nucleotides) under uncultured bacterium. RNAcentral's name for it is "bacterial SSU rRNA". It matches the Rfam family "Bacterial small subunit ribosomal RNA", at positions 527 to 896 of the family's 1533-position model. The record is from RNAcentral.
GUAGGGGGCGAGCGUUGUCCGGAUUUAUUGGGCGUAAAGAGCUCGUAGGCGGCUCACUAAGUCGGGUGUGAAACCUCCAGGCUUAACCUGGGAGACGCCACCUGAUACUGGUGUGGCUAGAGUCCGGUAGGGGAGCGUGGUACUCCUGGUGUAGCGGUGAAAUGCGCAGAUAUCAGGAAGAACACCAGCGGCGAAGGCGGCGCUCUGGGCCGGAACUGACGCUGAGGAGCGAAAGCGUGGGUAGCAAACAGGAUUAGAUACCCUGGUAGUCCACGCCGUAAACGUUGGGCACUAGGUGUGGGUCUCAACCAACGGGAUCCGUGCCGCAGCUAACGCAUUAAGUGCCCCGCCUGGGGAGUACGGCCGCAAGGCUA